Molecule: ribosomal RNA, 477 nt
Filed under: uncultured bacterium
Lineage: Bacteria
Description: bacterial SSU rRNA
Rfam family: Bacterial small subunit ribosomal RNA
Source: RNAcentral
GAUGAACGCUGGCGGCAUGCCUAAUACAUGCAAGUCGAACGAGAGGAAGGAAAGCUUGCUUUUCUGAAUCUAGUGGCGAACGGGUGAGUAACACGUAGGUAACCUGCCCAUGUGCCCGGGAUAACUUCUGGAAACGGAUGCUAAAACCGGAUAGGUAGCAGACAAGCAUUUGACUGCUAUUAAAGUGGCCUUGGCCAUGAACAUGGAUGGACCUGCGGUGCAUUAGCUGGUUGGUGAGGUAACGGCCCACCAAGGCGACGAUGGCAGUAGCCGGCCUGAGAGGGCGGACGGCCACAUUGGGACUGAGACACGGCCCAAACUCCUACGGGAGGCAGCAGUAGGGAAUUUUCGUCAAUGGGGGGAACCCUGAACGAGCAAUGCCGCGUGAGUGAGGAAGGUCUUCGGAUCGUAAAGCUCUGUUGUAAGAGAAAAACGGCACUCAUAGGGAAUGAUGAGUGAGUGAUGGUAUCUUACCAG